AACGGAGGGGGCGAGAGUUGUCCGGAAUUACUGGGCGUAAAGGGCGCGUAGGCGGUUCUUUAAGUCAGAGGUGAAAACUGUCGGCUCAACCGGCAGCCUGCCUUUGAAACUGGAGGACUUGAGGGCAGGAGAGGGGAGUGGAAUUCCCAGUGUAGCGGUGAAAUGCGUAGAUAUUGGGAGGAACACCAGUGGCGAAGGCGGCUCUCUGGCCUGUUGCGGACGCGGAGGCGAGAAAGCGGGGGGAUCACACAGGAUGCGAUAACAGCGUAGUCC
RNAcentral lists this ribosomal RNA (273 nucleotides) under uncultured bacterium. RNAcentral's name for it is "partial 16S ribosomal RNA". It matches the Rfam family "Bacterial small subunit ribosomal RNA", at positions 524 to 796 of the family's 1533-position model. The record is from RNAcentral.